Long non-coding RNA from Cyprinus carpio (common carp), 883 nucleotides. RefSeq lists it as uncharacterized. NCBI's taxonomy places the organism in Eukaryota, Metazoa, Chordata, Actinopteri, Cypriniformes, Cyprinidae. The record is from RefSeq and is a predicted model, not a curated record. The transcript is spliced from 3 exons.
AUAAUUCUCCAACUGAUCUCUAUUAAGCCAAUAAUAAUUAAUAAGCCCUACUCCUAAACUACUGUACAGAAAACAAGCCAUUAUUUAGUGCCUUUUUAAAUCAGGUUUUUAAUUAUGUACUUUUUAAUCACUAUCAUUGUGGGGACAUUUUUUUUUUUUUCAGUGGAAGCAGAAUAUUCAGCAAUAAUAGCAGAACAAACAGAUGUGGUUCGGGACAUGGCUGUGGGAAUUCAUCAAUCGAAGAAUAACAGCAUUCUAAUCAUGCACAAAUAUAGCUACAAGCAUUGAGGUUUGGAUAGUGAAUCAGAUCCUAAAACAAUGCUGACAACAUUAUAAAAUGACCACUACCAGGCAAAAACAGGCCAGAUGUGCACAGCUUGUGCCAGCAUCAAAGUGAUGCCGGUGGCUUCAAGUUGGCACUGGCCGAUGCCAGAUGCUGAGUGGCCAAAAUGUUCUGACUGAGGGCAAAUUUGGCAGAGUGCCGCUGAAUUAAACACAUGGACAUAUGCAUGCCUGCUAACAUCUUUCAAGUUCACAACCAUCUGUCUUGGGCAACAACGAACAGGUCAGACACGUGUGCCAGACAAAACCAAACAGGUAAUAAAAAAAAGCAUACACGAUGCAGAUAGGUUUCACAAAAUUAUUAGUUAAACACCUGCCAGAACAGCAUAGGUGCCGUUUGUCAGGCGACAAAAACUUCUACACACAAAAAUUACCCCAAAAAAUGCUUCUCAGUUAUCUGUAAUAGUGUAAAGGUGCUAUCCUGCCAUCUAGUGGUAAAUAACUUUAUUGCAAAGUUUUACAGAAAACAUCAUGAGUGAAAAGGCAUCAAGAUAGACUGACAGGUGUGUGAAUGUAAACACAUUCAGGAUGAUGCAGAAGA